GCGAGAGUGGCGGAACUAGGCAGACGCGCUAGAUUUAGGAUCUAGUGCCUUAGGGCGUGGGGGUUCGAUUCCCUUCUCUCGCACCA
Molecule: transfer RNA, 86 nt
Filed under: Candidatus Theseobacter exili
Lineage: Bacteria; Pseudomonadati; Candidatus Auribacterota; Candidatus Auribacteria; Candidatus Theseobacterales; Candidatus Theseobacteraceae
Description: tRNA-Leu
Rfam family: tRNA
About the family: Transfer RNA (tRNA) molecules are approximately 80 nucleotides in length. Their secondary structure includes four short double-helical elements and three loops (D, anti-codon, and T loops). Further hydrogen bonds mediate the characteristic L-shaped molecular structure. tRNAs have two regions of fundamental functional importance: the anti-codon, which is responsible for specific mRNA codon recognition, and the 3' end, to which the tRNAs corresponding amino acid is attached (by aminoacyl-tRNA synthetases). tRNAs cope with the degeneracy of the genetic code in two manners: having more than one tRNA (with a specific anti-codon) for a particular amino acid; and 'wobble' base-pairing, i.e. permitting non-standard base-pairing at the 3rd anti-codon position.
Source: RNAcentral